GCAGGGUUAGUGAAGCGGUCAAACACGGCAGACUGUAAAUCUGCUGGCAUUCGCCUUCGUAGGUUCGAAUCCUACACCCUGCACCA
RNAcentral lists this transfer RNA (86 nucleotides) under Candidatus Saccharimonadota bacterium. RNAcentral describes it as "tRNA-Tyr". It matches the Rfam family "tRNA". From Rfam's summary of the family: Transfer RNA (tRNA) molecules are approximately 80 nucleotides in length. Their secondary structure includes four short double-helical elements and three loops (D, anti-codon, and T loops). Lineage: Bacteria; Candidatus Saccharimonadota. The record is from RNAcentral.